UUAAACUGAAAGCUCCAAAAUUUCCCCCCUCUAUCACUCUCGAAAAAACCACAUCUUCUCCCUCUUCUCGAACCUCUCCUCGAACCUUCAGUCCACUUCUCCCUCUUCUCCCUCUUCUCCCUCUUCUCGAACCUUCAGUCCACUUCUUCACUGCACUCUCUUCUCCGCUGUCAGUCCACCUCGCCGGCAGCGAGCCUCUGGUUCAGUGAAACCCGCACUCCACGUCACCACUCGCGAUUUGUGUGGAUUCAGAUUUCAUUUGUCGAACACGGUUGGUUUCUUCGAAGUGGUAGAGAUAAGCUGGAGUUGUAGUUGCGUUUUGCUCCUGGUUUGAAAUCGCGAAUUUGGAAACCCUAGGUUGGUUUCUUCGAAGUGGAAGAGAUAAGAUCGAGCUGCUAUUGCCUUCUACAUUUGGUAAAAAGUUUCCCCAUUUUCUGGUCAAACAGUGACAUCAAAACCCAAGUAAGUGGUUCUAACCUUUUAUUUGUAU
Non-coding RNA from Vigna umbellata (rice bean), 490 nucleotides. NCBI's taxonomy places the organism in Eukaryota, Viridiplantae, Streptophyta, Magnoliopsida, Fabales, Fabaceae. The record is from RefSeq and is a predicted model, not a curated record.